ACGAGGCUCGGAGAAGUUGUGGAAUUAGUUCGAACGAUUAAUUUUCGAAAAAACGAACGUUAUUUAGGGGCUCGCGAAAGUUGACUUUUUAUACGUUCAAAAUUUGGGAAAACUUUCUUCAUGAAAGUUGUAGAGCUCGUCGAUACGAUCGCGUGCAUAUGCGGAACGCAAAAAUCGGAGUUCGUAUGACUUAGUUAUGAUUUUUUGAAAAAGUUUCCAAUUUAGUAUAAAGCUUCCAUUUUUGGAAAUUUCCAAAAAUAAAAACAGAUUUUUCCAAAAUUGGAAAAUCUGCUGCGAUUUUAGUUCCCCGCCGGAAAUCGCCUCCAAAACUUCGAUCGACGAUUUCUUCCUCCUCCGGCCACCGAUCCUCACCAAACUUCUUCCAUUGGCUUCGUAUGGUCCUUGCGCACCUGUCUGUGGCAGCCUUUCACGGCGGCGCGGCCUGUAGCGGCGGCAGCAAGCCCGGUCCGAUUUAAGCUCGAUUUUGGUCAACGCCGGUUUUCUCCUAGCUCCGGCCACCAAAACUUCCGAUCCUUGGCUCCAUGAACUCCCCUCAACCUGCUGAUCAUCAUACUAGGAGGAUUGCACCUAGAGUGACCGGUUUCACGUUCGUCGGAGCUCGUGGGUUCCCCUUGAUGUUAUUAACAACUCUCUAGAAGGCAUCGAGGCCUGAAAUUGAAGCUUUGACGUCGAAAUCGAGCCUUGCCGGAUUCUGCAAAAUUCUGGAAUUUUUCCGACCACCGAAGCUUUCGAUCGGUAUAUCUCGAGCUACAGACCAUAUUUUUCUGUGAUUCUUGAACCAGUGAGUUCUUCUUGAGUUUCUUAACAACUCUUCAGAAGGAAUCGAAGCCUUAAAUUGACGUUUUUACGUCGAAUUGGAGCUCGCCGUUUUCUGCAGUUUCUCGCCGGUUUCUGGAAAAUUCCGGCCACCUUCAUACUGUUCAAGUGGCUUUGUGUGGUCAUGGGCGAAGAUCCGACCGUUGGAUCUUCGUAUAAUUGAGAAAUGGUGAUUCGGAAGGCGAUUCGUGAGAAUCCGACCGUCAGAUUUUCAUAUAAUUUUGUGGAGAUGUUUGUAAGGAUGAUUCGAGAAGAUCUGACCGUUGGAUCUUCAUUAUAAUUUUGGAGGAUGAUCCUAAGGGCGAUCCGUGAGGAUCUGACCGUUGGAUCAUCAUUAAAUUAAGAUUCGACCGUCGGAUCAUCAUAUAAUUAGAAUCCGACCGUUGGAUUUCAGUAUAUGUGUGGUUUAUGAG
Long non-coding RNA from Rosa rugosa (rugosa rose), 1250 nucleotides. RefSeq lists it as uncharacterized. Lineage: Eukaryota; Viridiplantae; Streptophyta; Magnoliopsida; Rosales; Rosaceae. The record is from RefSeq and is a predicted model, not a curated record. The transcript has 3 exons.